This 497-nucleotide ribosomal RNA is filed under the name uncultured bacterium. RNAcentral's name for it is "partial 16S ribosomal RNA". It matches the Rfam family "Bacterial small subunit ribosomal RNA", at positions 28 to 507 of the family's 1533-position model. The record is from RNAcentral.
GAUGAACGCUGGCGGCGUGCCUAAUACAUGCAAGUCGAGCGAACGGACGAGAAGCUUGCUUCUCUGAUGUUAGCGGCGGACGGGUGAGUAACACGUGGAUAACCUACCUAUAAGACUGGGAUAACUUCGGGAAACCGGAGCUAAUACCGGAUGAUAUUUUGAGCCGCAUGGUUCAAAAGUGAAAGACGGUCUUGCUGUCACUUAUAGAUGGAUCCGCGCUGCAUUAGCUAGUUGGUAAGGUAAUGGCUUACCAAGGCAACGAUGCAUAGCCGACCUGAGAGGGUGAUCGGCCACACUGGAACUGAAACACGGUCCAGACUCCUACGGGAGGCAGCAGUAGGCAAUCUUCCGCAGUGGGCGAAAGCCUGACGGAGCAACGCCGCGUGAGUGAUGAAGGUCUUCGGAUCGUAAAACUCUGUUAUUAGGGAAGAACAUAUGUGUAAGUAACUGUGCACAUCUUGACGGUACCUAAUCAGAAAGCCACGGCUAACUACGUG